This 274-nucleotide long non-coding RNA is filed under the name Mytilus galloprovincialis (Mediterranean mussel). Lineage: Eukaryota; Metazoa; Mollusca; Bivalvia; Mytilida; Mytilidae. The record is from RNAcentral.
UCGUCCACUGUUUUUAACGCAUUAUUGCCGAUUGAAAAGUUAAAUUCACUCUGCUUUUUACGUCCUUUACGAAAGUGCACGCACUUAGAUUUGUCCGUGUUGAUCAGAACCCUCCAACGUUUACACCAUCUACGAAUCACAUUUAACAUUUGUUGAAGUUCAUCCUCACUUUUUGCGAACAUAACAAUAUCAUCAGCGUAAAGUAGAAGUGAAAUCUGUCUUCCAUUAAUAUCAAAUCCUAAAUUCAAAUCAUUAACUUCUUUAACCAGAUCGU